AUUGAACGCUGGCGGCCGGCCUAACACAUGCAAGUCGAGCGAGUGGCGCACGGGUGAGUAAUGUAUGGGGAUCUGCCCGAUAGAGGGGGUUAACUACUGGAAACGGUGGCUAAUCCCGCAUACCAUCGGAUGAACCCUGAUUGGAUUAGCUAGUAGGUGGGGUAAAGGCUCACCUAGGCGUCGAUCCCUAGCUGAGCUGAGAGGAUGAUCAGCCACACUGGGAAUGAGACACGGGCCAGACUCCUACGGGAGGCAGCAAUAGGGAAUAUUGCGCAAUGGGCGAAAGCCUGAUGCAGCCAUGCCGCGGGUAUUAAGGAGGCCUUAGGGUUGUAAAAUUCUUUCAGCGGGGAGGCGGUACCCGCAGAAAAAGCAACGGCUAACUCCGUGCCAGGCGCCGCGGUAAUAC
This 406-nucleotide ribosomal RNA is filed under the name uncultured bacterium. RNAcentral's name for it is "partial 16S ribosomal RNA". It matches the Rfam family "Bacterial small subunit ribosomal RNA", at positions 30 to 526 of the family's 1533-position model. The record is from RNAcentral.